This 506-nucleotide ribosomal RNA is filed under the name uncultured bacterium. RNAcentral's name for it is "partial 16S ribosomal RNA". The record is from RNAcentral.
GGAGUUAGCCGGUGCUUCUUCUGUGAGUGAUGUCCUUCCUGCCGGCUAUUAACCCGCAGGCCUUCUUCCUCACUGAAAGUGCUUUACAACCCGAAGGCCUUCUUCACACACGCGGCAUGGCUGGAUCAGGGUUGCCCCCAUUGUCCAAUAUUCCCCACUGCUGCCUCCCGUAGGAGUCUGGGCCGUGUCUCAGUCCCAGUGUGGCUGAUCAUCCUCUCAGACCAGCUACGGAUCGUCGCCUUGGUGAGCCGUUACCUCACCAACCAGCUAAUCCGACAUAGGCUCAUCCGAUAGCGCGAGGCCCGAAGGUCCCCCGCUUUCCCCCGUAGGCGUAUGCGGUAUUAGCCUGGGUUUCCCCAGGUUAUCCCCCACUACCGGGCAGAUUCCUAUGCAUUACUCACCCGUCCGCCGCUCGCCACCAGGGAGCAAGCUCCCCGUGCUGCCGCUCGACUUGCAUGUGUUAGGCCUGCCGCCAGCGUUCAAUCUGAGCCAGAAUCGAACCCUGA